GGCAGGUACUGGAGGUCCGAACCCACUAAUUUUGAAAAAUUAGGGGAUGGGCUGUGGAUAGGGGUGAAAGGCUAAACAAAUCCGGAAAUAGCUGGUUCUCCCCGGAAACUAUUUAGGUAGUGCGUCAUGUAUCACUUGCGGGGGUAAAGCACUGUUAUGGCUAGGGGGUCAUCGCGACUUACCAAACCAUGGCAAACUCUGAAUACCGCAAAGUGCGAGCAUGGCAGACAGACAGUGGGUGCUAACGUCCAUUGUCAAGAGGGAAACAACCCAGACCGCCAGCUAUGUCCCCAAGACACAGUUAAGUGGGAAACGAAGUGGGAAGGCAUAGACAGCUAGGAGGUUGGCUUAGAAGCAGCCAUCCUUUAAAGAAAGCGUAAUAGCUCACUAGUCGAGUCGUCCUGCGCGGAAGAUGUAACGGGGCUCAAACUGUGCACCGAAGCUGCGGAUAUCGAAAGAUAUGGUAGGGGAGCGUUCUGUAGGUCUGUGAAGGUGUCUUGUAAAGGAUGCUGGAGAUAUCAGAAGUGCGAAUGCUGACAUGAGUAGCGAUAAAGGGCGUGAAAAGCGCCCUCGCCGAAAGCCCAAGGUUUCCUACGCAACGUUCAUCGGCGUAGGGUGAGUCGGCUCCUAAGGCGAGGCAGAAAUGCGUAGUCGAUGGGAAACAGGUCAAUAUUCCUGUACCGAUUCUAGAUGCGAUGUGGGGACGGAGAAGGUUAGGUCAGCCGGGUGUUGGACGUCCCGGUUUAAGCGUGUAGGCGUGCCCCUUAGGCAAAUCCGGGGGGCUGAGCUGAGGCGUGAUGACGAGGAACCACGGUUCCGAAGUGAUUGAUACCAAGCUUCCAGGAAAAGCCACUAAGCUUCAGUCUAGAGUUGACCGUACCGCAAACCGACACAGGUGGGCAGGAUGAAAAUUCUAAGGCGCUUGAGAGAACUCAGGAGAAGGAACUCGGCAAAUUAACACCGUAACUUCGGGAGAAGGUGUGCCCCGGUAGCGUGUAGAGACUUGCUCUCGAAGCGCGAUGGGGUUGCAGUGAAAUGGUGGCUGCGACUGUUUAAUAAAAACACAGCACUCUGCAAACACGAAAGUGGACGUAUAGGGUGUGACGCCUGCCCGGUGCCGGAAGGUUAAGUGAUGGGGUGCAAGCUCUUGAUCGAAGCCCCGGUAAACGGCGGCCGUAACAAUAACGGUCCUAAGGUAGCGAAAUUCCUUGUCGGGUAAGUUCCGACCUGCACGAAUGGCGUAACGAUGGCCACACUGUCUCCUCCUGGGACUCAGCGAAGUUGAAAUGUUUGUGAAGAUGCAAUCUACCCGCGGCUAGACGGAAAGACCCCAUGAACCUUUACUGUAGCUUUGCAUUGGACUUUGAACCGGC
RNAcentral lists this ribosomal RNA (1373 nucleotides) under metagenome. RNAcentral's name for it is "bacterial LSU rRNA". It matches the Rfam family "Bacterial large subunit ribosomal RNA", at positions 758 to 2133 of the family's 2925-position model. The record is from RNAcentral.